ACGAACGCUGGCGGCGUGCCUAACACAUGCAAGUCAACUUGACUGAAGGAGCAAUCUGACAGUAGAGUGGCGCAAGGGUGCGUAACGCGUAAGUAACUUGCCCAAGGUAAGGAAUAACGUCGAGAAAUCGGCGCUAAUACCUCAUAAUGCAGCGGAUCCGCAUGGAUAUGUUGUUAAAGGUUUACCGCCUUGGGAUGGGCUUGCGUCUGAUUAGUUAGUUGGUGUGGUAACGGCACACCAAGGCUACGAUCAGUAACUGGUCUGAGAGGAUGAUCAGUCACACUGGAACUGAGACACGGUCCAGACUCCUACGGGAGGCAGCAGUGAGGAAUAUUGGGCAAUGCUCGAAAGAGUGACCCAGCAACGCCGCGUGGAGGAUGAAGGUAUUCUAUAUCGUAAACUCCUGUGAGAGCAGACGAAAGACAGAUUAUUAAUCUGGAUGACUGUAUGCUCAGAGGAAGCCCCGGCUAACUACGUG
This 478-nucleotide ribosomal RNA is filed under the name uncultured bacterium. Its description in RNAcentral is "bacterial SSU rRNA". It matches the Rfam family "Bacterial small subunit ribosomal RNA", at positions 29 to 507 of the family's 1533-position model. The record is from RNAcentral.